AGCAUUAGUCGGACUGAAAUGAAGACAUUUUUCGUUAAAUUUGUCAUUUUAUGGACAUUAUUUGCGAUUUUAGAAUGCAAAUCACAAAAGUUACCCACGAAAUACGAGUUGGCGAGAGAUAAUUGUGCGUCUCUGAUGCUUUUAGCGAAUAAAAACAUCAAAAAAAGGACUUUUGCUCAAUGGCACAUUGGAAAAUUCAAAAAAUCAGGAGGAGAUAUUUAUGUCAAAUGUUUAUAUCGCCGUCUUAAUUGGGGAACCCGAUCGCAACCUAAUGGAGAAUUAAAAUUCAAUUCUGCGAACUUUUUCAAGGACCUUCCGAAUUUAGACGAAAAUUUUAUUAACAAUUGUUCCAAAAAAUCCGGAAAUUUAUUCGUAUUCCACAAGUGCAUUUUGAGCAAUAAUCCCGUAAAAAGUGAAAUUUUACGCAAAAUAACUGGAAAAACUGAUGAAAGCGCUGCUUUUAAGAAGACUUUGAAGGAUUUGAAAGCAAAUUGGAACAAAAUCAAAAGAAAUACUUUCCGUGAAAUGGUGAUCGUGCCGAAAUAUUAACAAAAUUUCUACAAAAAAUGAAUUUUGUGGCGCUUGAAUACCUUUUUUUGUUCUCGAACACACGUCAAAAUAUAACAAUGCAGUGAAAAACUGCCUUUUGUCGCAAAUUGGUCGCAAAUCAUCA
Molecule: long non-coding RNA, 673 nt
Organism: Culicoides brevitarsis
Lineage: Eukaryota; Metazoa; Arthropoda; Insecta; Diptera; Ceratopogonidae
Exons: 3
Source: RefSeq, a predicted model, not a curated record